UUCGCGUGUGCUUCUGUGAUUGUUGUGUAUGAUGAAAGAUUCAUUGAAACUCUGUUACGUGAAUUCUUGUGUGCGUCGCGUGUGAACAAAUGCUCUGUGUGAAUCGUUGUGUGGAGACGAAUCCUAGAUCAAGCAUAAUUGCAGCUUCGAUGUGAAGCUCCAAUGGCUUCCUAAUGGACCUUUGUGCAAGGUUAGAAGGGAGAGAAAAAUGGUGAAUAGAGGUUAUGAUAGUGAUGAGUGAGCUUUGAGAAUUGUUCCUUUUUGAUUGAAGAGUGAUGUAUGUUUAUAUAGUUUGGAAGCCGUAAUCGAGUCGGGUAGCUCGGGUAGAAUGGUUAAGGCAGAGCAAUUGCACUUGGGGUUGGUUACGGGAUGCGAUUAAGUUUGUGAAUCAGAAGGAAAAUAGAUUGGUUAUGUUGAUUUGGACUAAAACAGGUUUUAGUUGCCUAGUUAUUCGCAGCUUUGGAUUUUUCUGCUAUGCAUAUGCUGCUGUUGGGCAUUGCCUUGCUUGAAUAUUUGAAAUCGAUUUCUGGAACUGCUGUUGGAUUAUUGAUGCAAGAUUAUGGAUGUUGGC
Molecule: long non-coding RNA, 571 nt
Organism: Lathyrus oleraceus (garden pea)
Lineage: Eukaryota; Viridiplantae; Streptophyta; Magnoliopsida; Fabales; Fabaceae
Exons: 3
Source: RefSeq, a predicted model, not a curated record